AGUGAACGCUGGCGGUAGGCCUAACACAUGCAAGUCGAACGGCAGCACAGUAAGAGCUUGCUCUUACGGGUGGCGAGUGGCGGACGGGUGAGGAAUACAUCGGAAUCUACUUUUUCGUGGGGGAUAACGUAGGGAAACUUACGCUAAUACCGCAUACGACCUACGGGUGAAAGCAGGGGAUCUUCGGACCUUGCGCGAUUGAAUGAGCCGAUGUCGGAUUAGCUAGUUGGCGGGGUAAAGGCCCACCAAGGCGACGAUCCGUAGCUGGUCUGAGAGGAUGAUCAGCCAGACGGGCACUGAGACAGGGCCCAGACUCCUACGGGAGGCAGCAGUGGGGAAUAUUGGACGAUGGGGGCAAGCCUGAUCCAGCCAUACCGCGUGGAUGAAGAAGGCCUUCGGGUUGUAAAGCCAUUUUGUUGGGAAAGAAAAGCAGCAGGUUAAUACCCCGCUGUUCUGACGGUACCCAAAGAAUAAGCACCGGCUAACUUCGUG
This 492-nucleotide ribosomal RNA is filed under the name uncultured bacterium. Its description in RNAcentral is "partial 16S ribosomal RNA". It matches the Rfam family "Bacterial small subunit ribosomal RNA", at positions 29 to 507 of the family's 1533-position model. The record is from RNAcentral.